AUGGCGGUGGAUCCGCCUCGGCAGGUGGAUCCGCCUCAAGCAGGGCUGCUGGGGCACAACACCAGCAUGGCCGGAUUGCCUUCAGCGCCGUGGUGCCCGAAGCGCCGCACGACGGCUGGGGGCUCUCCCAGAGCCCCCAAACAGGCGCCUGGCCGCAAGCGGCGCCGCCCCCGCAGCCGCCACUAGCCGGAAGGGGCAGCACAGCCACCUCCGGGGGAUGGGCCGGACCAGCAGCCGCUGUGGAGCCACAGGUGAGCCCGGCUUCCCAACCCGCACAACCGGCCCUCAUGCCGGGGCAUCUCCUCUGCCCUGCGGCCUGGGGAAGAGGCGAGGAGAGUCGCUGCCAUCUUCUGGUCGGCAGCCCCAGAGCACCGGGAGGAGUCCUUAGGAGCCACCACACACUGGGGGACAGCGCCACAGACACCAGGACACCCGAGGACACCGCUGGAGCUUGCCUUCAAGGAAAAUAAGCCCACUGGAGACCGCCAGAGACUGUCGGAGACCAAAGGACACCGUGGGAUCUGCACCUUGCCUUAAAAAAAGGAAGAGUUUGGAGACUUGGAGACAAAACCUUACGAGGUUUGGUCAGGAAUUCUUGACAGGACUGCUGGAAGGAUUUUUCGAAGUGUUCUUGCCCCCAAGGUUCAUUAGGUCAGAGGCAUUUGGGCACUCUCCCAAGUCCGGGAGAUGGUUCCACCUUAAGGUAGGAUAGGCUAGGGCUUGGGCAGGUCCUGGGAGGCGUGAGCAGCUUGUGGGACAAGGAGCCAGGUCUUGCUCCCAUGCUCAGAUCGCCAGCACUGGGGUCAGGAAGGAAUUUUUUCCCCCGGGGCAGAUUGGCACUGGUCUCCGGGGGUUUUUUGCCUUCCUCUGCAGCAUUGAGCAUGACCACUUUGCAGAGCUCCUCUGGGCCCUUUUGGCUCAGAUCCUGCCUGCUGCUCAAGCACCAGGAACAUGGCCUCUCGUGCCCUGCAGCUGGGGGGAGGAAGGCUUUUUUUUCCCCCAGGCGGGACACCAAGCGUCUCUGGGGGUUUUUUGCCUUCCUCUGCAGCAUUGAGCACGGCCCCUUGCCACGGCUUCUUUGGGCCAUUUGGGCUGGGUGCCUGCUGCUCCACGAGGUGGCCCUAAACUUAGCUAGAACAGCCUACCUACACCAGCAUAGAACAGCUCACCUAAACCAACCUUAAACAACUGCAAACAACUAACCAGCCUUCAAGAACCUAAAAUAAAAUAGAAAGAAACACUA
Molecule: long non-coding RNA, 1243 nt
Organism: Columba livia (rock pigeon)
Lineage: Eukaryota; Metazoa; Chordata; Aves; Columbiformes; Columbidae
Exons: 3
Source: RefSeq, a predicted model, not a curated record